Setaria italica (foxtail millet) is the source of this 3168-nucleotide long non-coding RNA. RefSeq lists it as uncharacterized. NCBI's taxonomy places the organism in Eukaryota, Viridiplantae, Streptophyta, Magnoliopsida, Poales, Poaceae. The transcript has 4 exons. The record is from RefSeq and is a predicted model, not a curated record.
AACAGACUCGCGAGGAAACUUACCUCCGCGAUUCCCAAAACCCCCCUUUUCCGAUUCCUUGCUGUCCACUCACGUCUCCGGUGAUCACCGGCGGCCAUGGGCCACGACACGCCAUGGCCACCGCGCGCCUCAGCUUCUCCCGCCCCUCUUUCUCCCGCGCAAGCCAAAAGACCGCAAAAGUUUAGCGCGCUCCGAUUCCUCUCGGCGGCAAACUCCCGCCCUCUUCCGCCUCCCUCCAUUAAGCUCGCCGUAGGGUUAGGGUUGGCCAAACCAGAUAAAUCCAUCCCAAAUUGAAGCCCAAUCUCCCGUCCCUGAGGAAGAAAUCGCCCCCAAUCCGUGCAACAAUGAGUAGGCCAGACACAAAGAAGAAUCAGUUGAGCUUGAAUCGGGCCGCCGGUGAAUCGGCCGCCACUGCUCCAGCCGCCCGUGGUGCUCGAGAUGCAGAUGCAACCGAUGGUGCUCCAGGCCCCCAAGCUCCAUCAUUUGGUCCAGUCGUUGGUGCUGUUCGAGGAGUUGGUGGUGCCCCAGAAGCCGGUGGUUCUCCAGGAGCUGGUGGUUUUCAUGCCUGUUGUUGGUGGUCAUGCUCCAGCCGCUGGUGGUGUUAUGGCGUUGGUGCUCAAGCCACUGCUCCUUGCUGGCCAGCGGCAGCUCUUGGCGCAUCCUUCGCGGUUCAACCAUCUCCUGGCAGCUCUGAAUGAGUGAAUGGAUAUAUCCACAGGGCAGUUUCAUGAAUAUGCUACAGAAUCCAUUUGUGAACUAUGCCAAAGGAAGUCAGCUACCAGAGAAGUUCCAUUUUGUUGGUGGACCAAUGAGCCAUUCUAGAGUCUCACCUAAAGCAGCAAGUUCUAAAGGGACCCCAUCACCAACUGGGAGCUUUGCUGAUGGUGGUUCUGAUGGUGCUGCACAAAUUGGAUCACAAGAUAAAGAAGUAAUUGAAGUUGAGGACAAUGUCACCAUUCAGACAGGAAGAUCCAAUGCUAGAUCCAUUGCUAGAUCCCUUGCUUCAUCAGAUGCUAGAUCAGAUAGGAGAUUGAAUUGGUCAAUUGAAGAAGAUAUCAGAUUGGUUCGUGCGUGGCUGCUCAAUUCAAUUGAUCCGGUUGAUGGAAAUGAUAAGAAGUCUGAUCAGUAUUGGUCUGAUGGUACUUCUACAUACAACAGCACCACGAAGUGUGAUCGUAUGAGAAACUGCAACCAGCUAAAGCUACGUUGGGAGCACAUUGAGAGGCUUGUCACUGAAUUCAAUGGUUGCUAUACAAGAAUAACUAAAGUGCAUCGGAGUGGUAUGAGUGAUGACCAAAAGAUGGAUCAAGCAUUGCAGCUGUAUGCCUCUGAACACAGUGACAAGCCUUUCACAAUGAUCCAUGUAUGGAGGAUAUUACGUCAUGAGAAGAAGUGGUCUGCAUAUGUCAAGAAACUUAACAAUGAGAAGGACAAGAGUGCAUCACCUAACCCAGGUCCUGUGGUGGAUUCGAAGAUGUUCCAAAACAAACCAAUCUGAUUUGUCUCCUCUCUCUUCCCUAAUCUGUUCCACCAUGCCAAACCAAUCUGAUCAAUUGCCAAACGAUUCCCCUGGGUCCUUGCAGAAUCUGAACAAGGGCUCAUGAAUGAUUACUUUGUGGAUGAUCCAGUCUAUAAUGAAACAAUGUUCCGUAGAAGAUUCAGGAUGAGAAGGCCUUUGUUCUUACGCAUUGUUCAAGCCCUGGGUGAGUGGAAUAAAUAUUUCACUUUGAAGAUGGAUGCUCUUAACCGACCAGGCUUAUCUCCAAUCAAAAAAUGCACAGCGGCUAUUCGCCAAUUGGGGAAUGGCAGCCCUGCAGACCAACUUGAUGAGUACCUAAAGAUUGGAGAAAGUACUGGAGUGGAGUGCUUGAAGAAGUUUGUGAAGGGUGUGAUUGAGGUGUUUGGUAAAGAGUAUUUGCGACGCCCCACAGCACAAGAUAUUGAACGCUUAGUGCAUAUUGGUGAGUGGCAUGGGUUCCCUGGUAUGUUAUGGAGCAUUGACUGCAUGCAUUAGCAUUGGGAAAAAUGUCCUUAUGAAUGGAAGGGAAUGUAUACCUGUGGUGAUCAAGGUGUUCCUACGGUCAUUUUAGAAGCAGUAGCUUCGCAUGAUCGUUGGAUAUGGCAUGCCUUCUUUGGGGUUGCUGGGUCCAACAAUGACAUCAACGUGCUUAAUCAGUCACCUCUGUUUGUCCAGCAGCUGAGAGGUGAAGGACCUCAGGUGCAGUUCUAUGUCAAUGGAAGGGAAUACAACACUGGUUACUACCUUGCAGAUGGUAUAUACCCAGAAUGGGCAACUUUUGUUAAGUCAAUACGUCAACCACAAUCAGAAAAGCAUAAACUAUUUGCUGAACAUCAAGAAGGGGCAAGGAAGGAUGUUGAGUGUGCUUUUGGUCUUCUGCAAUCUCUCUUUAGUAUUUUGAAACGACCUGCACGUCUAUAUGAUCAGGGGGACCUGGAGAAUAUCAUGCUAGUUUGCAUUAUCCUUCACAACAUGGUAAUUAAAGAAGAGAAAGAUAUUGAACAGGAUGCUCUUGAUUUGAAUGAGGCACCAAGCACAUCAACUGUACAAGAAGCUACAAUCUCUCAAGGACCUAAUCCAGAGAUGGAAGAAGUGAUAGAAAGAAAUACUAUUUAUUCGUGAUCGAACUACUCGUAGACAACUUCAAUCUGAUUUAGUUGAGCAUAUAUGGCAGAAGUUUGGUGCUUCUAAGUAAUUAGCUACUUCCUGGGACAUGUCUAAGAAUUAUGCAUUUUCAAGCAAGUUACCUUUGCAGAUGAUUAGGUUGGCAGUCAAGCUAUUUUGUUGUUGUUGUGCUCUGGAUGAACUGAUUGCACAUUGCUGAUUGCUGGAUCAACUGCAUGCUACCAAAAUUAGUAUCUAUAGUUUUAUUAUGUUUUGUCGUGAGAGGCUACCUAAAUUACUAUGUAUCCGCAUGGCAAUGCUAUCUAUUACCUGCUGUAAUGCAUCUGAACCUAUUUUCCUGUGCUUGUUCCCAAUGGAUGGCCUAUGCACAUUGCAAUUCGAUGCUCAUUUUCUUGUGCUUUAGCUGCCGUUGUAUAUGAACCUAUUUUCCUGCUCUAGCUGAUGGUGCUCCUGCUUCCAGGAUGCUCCAGCCGGUGGUAUUCUCUUGUUCAGUAUUUCAGUGAAAGUUAUCUAUUGUUUAUUUU